GGCAGACGCCGGAACCACUGAGCUAAAUCCCCAGCCCGAGCUGUUUUCUUUUAAAGUGGGUUGUUUUUGUUUUGUUUUGGGGACCAGGGAUGGAACUUGGGACCUUGUGCUUGUGAGGCAGGUGGUGGAACCACUGAGCUAAAUCCCCGGGCCAGGAGUGGGUUGUUUUUUAUCUUCUUACUUUGUGUCUUAUAUUUUUUGACUGAAUGACAAGUGUUGGAUUUGGCCAGUAGCGUACAAGGGUGCUGUCUGUACUGGGACCCACAGGUACUCAGGUAGUGGGCAAGGAAACCGGUGGUCACAUGCUGGUGGCGUGGACUUGUGCUGAAAAGAAGGUAUACCCUGAUCUGUCUUCCUUCAGGAGGCCUGGACAUGAGGCCCUUCUCAGAGCUGGGAUUGCAGGUGUGUGCCACUAGAUUUUCUCUUCUGAGGUGCAAAGCAGUCCUUUGUUUACCAGCACGACAGUGCCACCUUUGGGCCAGCAGGGUGGACGUGUGCAGUCCUUUGAAAGCCUGCAGAUCAGGCUCCUGGCUUCCUCUCUUGCUGGGGGCGCUCUUCCCUCUCAGGGAGCUUCCUUCAGUCAGAGCAAGGUAACAACUGACACAAGCCUGUCUUGUGCGCCUUGCCUUCCUCUCAGUCUAUGAACAGAUGCCUCUCAGGCUGCUGGAUUCUGGGAACCCAGCAAUUUUAUGUAACUGUAUUGCUGACAAUUCUGUCUCCUUUUUUUUUUCGGUACCGGUGAUCGAACUCAGGACCUUGUGCUUUCGAGGAGGCAGCUGCAGCACCACUGAGCUACAUCCCCCAGCCCAUCUGUCCCCUUCUUUGAUACUGCCAUUGAUGAAUGAUUUUGCUGGAGGAGGAACACAGUGGUCGGAUCUAACUGAAAUACUGUGUGCAGUGUCUGUGCAUAUGUAUGGCCGGAAAUCCCCUCUGGUCCACUUUCCCAUAGUCGGAGACAGAUCUGCACAGCAGCGGCUGGGAGUUUUCAGCAAUGCAGGCCAGAAGUUUUUAGCAUCUCCCCCAACUAGGUUGGUCCGGUUGUCUCUUCAGGAUCAGCUGGACGCAUCAGCGACUUCACCGUUUCUUCGCACGUGAUACCACAGUAAAUCCAGCUCCAAAUGCAGGUAGACUUUUCCCUGGUUGUCAGGCAGUACUUGAACUCCUGCCACAACCAAGAUGACUGCCACGCGUUUCCACCCAAAACCACUAC
Molecule: long non-coding RNA, 1210 nt
Filed under: Heterocephalus glaber (naked mole-rat)
Lineage: Eukaryota; Metazoa; Chordata; Mammalia; Rodentia; Bathyergidae
Description: lncRNA (ENSHGLG00100033422.1)
Source: RNAcentral